This 1126-nucleotide ribosomal RNA is filed under the name uncultured bacterium. RNAcentral's name for it is "bacterial SSU rRNA". It matches the Rfam family "Bacterial small subunit ribosomal RNA", at positions 46 to 1158 of the family's 1533-position model. The record is from RNAcentral.
GAGGUCUACCUGCAGUCGAGCGGAACGAGUUAUCUGAACCUUCGGGGAACGAUAACGGCGUCGAGCGGCGGACGGGUGAGUAAUGCCUGGGAAUAUGCCUUGAUGUGGGGGAUAACCAUUGGAAACGAUGGCUAAUACCGCAUAAUCUCUUCGGAGCAAAGAGGGGGACCUUCGGGCCUCUCGCGUCAAGAUUAGCCCAGGUGGGAUUAGCUAGUUGGUGAGGUAAUGGCUCACCAAGGCGACGAUCCCUAGCUGGUCUGAGAGGAUGAUCAGCCACACUGGAACUGAGACACGGUCCAGACUCCUACGGGAGGCAGCAGUGGGGAAUAUUGCACAAUGGGCGCAAGCCUGAUGCAGCCAUGCCGCGUGUGUGAAGAAGGCCUUCGGGUUGUAAAGCACUUUCAGCAGUGAGGAAGGUGGUGUCGUUAAUAGCGGCAUCAUUUGACGUUAGCUGCAGAAGAAGCACCGGCUAACUCCGUGCCAGCAGCCGCGGUAAUACGGAGGGUGCGAGCGUUAAUCGGAAUUACUGGGCGUAAAGCGCAUGCAGGUGGUUUGUUAAGUCAGAUGUGAAAGCCCGGGGCUCAACCUCGGAACCGCAUUUGAAACUGGCAGGCUAGAGUACUGUAGAGGGGGGUAGAAUUUCAGGUGUAGCGGUGAAAUGCGUAGAGAUCUGAAGGAAUACCGGUGGCGAAGGCGGCCCCCUGGACAGAUACUGACACUCAGAUGCGAAAGCGUGGGGAGCAAACAGGAUUAGAUACCCUGGUAGUCCACGCCGUAAACGAUGUCUACUUGGAGGUUGUGGCCUUGAGCCGUGGCUUUCGGAGCUAACGCGUUAAGUAGACCGCCUGGGGAGUACGGUCGCAAGAUUAAAACUCAAAUGAAUUGACGGGGGCCCGCACAAGCGGUGGAGCAUGUGGUUUAAUUCGAUGCAACGCGAAGAACCUUACCUACUCUUGACAUCCAGAGAACUUUCCAGAGAUGAAUUGUUGCCUUCGGGACUCUGAGACAGGUGCUGCAUGGCUGUCGUCAGCUCGUGUGUGAAUGUUGGUUUAGUCCCGCAACGAGCGCAACCCUUAUCCUGUUUGCCAGCGAGUAAUGUCGGGAACUCCAGGGAGACUGCCGUGAU